CAGCGAACGAGGAAGAUACACCCUCACCUGGAAAACAUUAUGCUGCGUGAAUAUGUCAAUUUAGAAGAAAACUUUGGCACUUGGAGCCUCAAGGUCAUGGAGAAACAAGAAGACUGCAGUUUCGGCCAUGAUCUCCAGGUGUCACGAGGUCCUGG
Molecule: long non-coding RNA, 155 nt
Organism: Suricata suricatta (meerkat)
Lineage: Eukaryota; Metazoa; Chordata; Mammalia; Carnivora; Herpestidae
Exons: 3
Source: RefSeq, a predicted model, not a curated record